CGUAGGUAACCUGCCUGGUAGCGGGGGAGUAACAUUGAACGAUAGCUAAUACCGCAUAAUAGCAGUUAUUGCAUGAUAACUGUUUGAAAGGUGCAAUUGCAUCACUACCAGAUGGACCUGCGUUGUAUUAGCUAGUUGGUGGGGUAACGGCUCACCAAGGCGACGAUACAUAGCCGACCUGAGAGGGUGAUCGGCCACACUGGGACUGAGACACGGCCCAG
This 221-nucleotide ribosomal RNA is filed under the name uncultured bacterium. Its description in RNAcentral is "partial 16S ribosomal RNA". It matches the Rfam family "Bacterial small subunit ribosomal RNA", at positions 116 to 334 of the family's 1533-position model. The record is from RNAcentral.